RNAcentral lists this ribosomal RNA (497 nucleotides) under uncultured bacterium. Its description in RNAcentral is "partial 16S ribosomal RNA". It matches the Rfam family "Bacterial small subunit ribosomal RNA", at positions 28 to 507 of the family's 1533-position model. The record is from RNAcentral.
GAUGAACGCUGGCGGCGUGCCUAAUACAUGCAAGUCGAGCGAACGGACGAGAAGCUUGCUUCUCUGAUGUUAGCGGCGGACGGGUGAGUAACACGUGGAUAACCUACCUAUAAGACUGGGAUAACUUCGGGAAACCGGAGCUAAUACCGGAUAAUAUUUUGAACCGCAUGGUUCAAAAGUGAAAGACGGUCUUGCUAUCACUUAUAGAUGGAUCCGCGCUGCAUUAGCUAGUUGGUAAGGUAACGGCUUACCAAGGCAACGAUGCAUAGCCGACCUGAGAGGGUGAUCGACCACACUGGAACUGAGACACGGUCCAGACUCCUACGGGAGGCAGCAGUAGGGAAUCUUCCGCAAUGGGCGAAAGCCUGACGGAGCAACGCCGCGUGAGUGAUGAAGGUCUUCGGAUCGUAAAACUCUGUUAUUAGGGAAGAACAUAUGUGUAAGUAACUGUGCACAUCUUGACGGUACCUAAUCAGAAAGCCACGGCUAACUACGUG